Molecule: long non-coding RNA, 435 nt
Organism: Lutra lutra (Eurasian river otter)
Lineage: Eukaryota; Metazoa; Chordata; Mammalia; Carnivora; Mustelidae
Exons: 3
Source: RefSeq, a predicted model, not a curated record
GGGGAACCCCAAGUUAGAAUUUCUUCACUUCAGGGCGUGUAGAGUCUCAAUCACUACCCUGAAUUAAUGUUGCUGUUCCCUGGCUAAAUUUUUCUGGUGGUUGUUGCUGAAGCAUAUCUUGCAAUCGUAAUGAGAACCACAAGGGCUGAUCUAGUCAUGACGUUGGUUUGGAAAGGGGAGACGUCUGCAGGAUGCUCACCCAGGCCCAGCAACAACGUCGUGCAACAGCUGUUGGGAGAGAUCACUGGAAGUCCCCCACCGCCUUGGCCAUGCCCCAUGAGCAGCACCGGGACCGGUCAGACAAGUGGGGGCGCACUGUGCUCCUGAGCCCCCCGCCUUCCCAGUUUCCAGAUGAGAAACUGCCAGCCGUCUUGGGAGUAUUCAAGGAUAAUUUAUUUUGAAAAAGUACCAUCAUGACUCUCAUACAGAAAUAAA